RNAcentral lists this ribosomal RNA (253 nucleotides) under uncultured bacterium. RNAcentral's name for it is "partial 16S ribosomal RNA". It matches the Rfam family "Bacterial small subunit ribosomal RNA", at positions 524 to 776 of the family's 1533-position model. The record is from RNAcentral.
UACGGGGGGGGCAAGCGUUGUUCGGAAUUACUGGGCGUAAAGGGUUUGUAGGUGGCUUGCUAAGUCAGACGUGAAAUCCCUCAGCUUAACUGAGGAACUGCGUCUGAGACUGGCAAGCUUGAGUGCAGGAGAGGAACGCGGAAUUCCAGGUGUAGCGGUGAAAUGCGUAGAUAUCUGGAGGAACACCGGUGGCGAAGGCGGCGUUCUGGACUGUAACUGACACUGAGGCACGAAGGCCAGGGGAGCAAACGGG